This is a long non-coding RNA of Apodemus sylvaticus (European woodmouse), 1177 nucleotides long. RefSeq lists it as uncharacterized. The record is from RefSeq and is a predicted model, not a curated record. The transcript is spliced from 3 exons. NCBI's taxonomy places the organism in Eukaryota, Metazoa, Chordata, Mammalia, Rodentia, Muridae.
GGCUGGCAGGUGUUUGGUACCUCAUCCUUCCUGGCUGUCGUGAGAUGACUACGCUUGAUUUUACAGAAACGGAGAAUUAGGGCUCUCCUAAGUGGAUGAUGUUUAGAUGUUCCCUAUGAAACUUGAGGACGGGGCUCUGAAGGAAGAUAAAUUUUAAUUUAAUUUAAUUUUUUAAAGAGAUGAGAUUCCAAGAACAGCUUUUGGUAGAGAUCGUCCCAGGACAAAGUUAUCUCCCCGGUGGUUCCCGGCACCAAGACGCGCCCCACCUGCAGAAGGCUGGCACUCUGAGCCCUAGGACGGCGAUCAGAGACGGCCCCCUCGCGGGUGGGAAGUCAGCGAGGGGAUCUGAGCAGAAGUUCGCCUGCCCCGGAGGCAAAGGCGCGAGUAAGGCAAGUGCCCGGGGCAGGAUGCGACUUCUGGAAGCCAGGCUGACUGGAGGGAACUGAGGGGAACUCUGCAGUCGUCGCUCCCGCGGGCCAGAACUGAGCAAGGCUGGAGGAACCCUGGCCCGCCGAAGUCGAGCCUCGCACCACCCGCGGGCGCUGCCUCGCGUGAGCCUCACGGGAGCUCACCUGGCGGCCGUCAGCCGGGAGGAGGAACUUGCCGAGGAGGAAGCCCAGCAGGGAUACACUGUCUUCAGUUUAGUCUGAAUUUAAACCUUCCUAUGUGAGAAGCAGCACAAUUACCAACUCUAGUUGCCAAGAAGAAACUGCUUCUGUCUCUCCAGAACUGGGAUUACAGGGUCUCUCUUCAUAACCCUGGCUGCUGGAACUCAUUGUGUUGACCAGGCUGACAUCUAAAUCACAGAGUGCUAGGAUUAAAGGCAAGGACCACAACACCUGUAAAGACGUUUUAAAAGUCUAUUUGUAUGAAUGUCUUGCCUACUUGGUUGUCUGUGCACCAUGUGUGCAGUGCCUUUAGACAUUGGAAGAGGGCAUUGGAUCCCCUGGAACUAGAGUGACAGACAGUUGUGAGCUGCUAUGGGAGUGCUAGGAGCCACACAUAUUGCUGUAAUGCCCCCAAAUACAUCAUGAACACAUGUAAAAUAAUAAAUUGAAAAUUAAAAAAAUCAUAAAACAGUGCUCAGAGAAAAUAUCUAAAAUAAGAAAAUAAAAUUUAUAAAUAAAUUUCACAUAAUAAAUAAAUGUCAUAAAUAAAAAUAUGUUCAUAUAACACA